GACGAACGCUGGCGGCGUGCUUAACACAUGCAAGUCGAACGAUGAAGCUGGAGCUUGCUCCGGUGGUGUAGUGGCGAACGGGUGAGUAACACGUGAGCAAUCUGCGCUUGACUCUGGGAUAACUGCGGGAAACUGUAGAUAAUACAGGAUACUUUCACAGGAAGGCAUCAUCUGGUGAAGAAAGAAUUUCGGUCAAGGAUGAGGUCGCGGCGUAUCAGCUUGUUGGGGAGGUAACGGCUCACCAAGGCGACGACGGGUAGCCGGCCGGAGAGGGUGGCCGGCCACACUGGGACUGAGACACGGCCCAGACUCCUACGGGAGGCAGCAGUGGGGAAUAUUGCACAAUGGGCGCAAGCCUGAUGCAGCAACGCCGCGUGAGGGAUGAAGGCCUUCGGGUUGUAAACCUCUUUUAGCAGGGAAGAAGCGAAAGUGACGGUACCUGCAGAAAAAGCACCGGCUAACUACGUGCCAGCAGCCGCCGUAA
RNAcentral lists this ribosomal RNA (484 nucleotides) under uncultured bacterium. Its description in RNAcentral is "partial 16S ribosomal RNA". It matches the Rfam family "Bacterial small subunit ribosomal RNA", at positions 28 to 523 of the family's 1533-position model. The record is from RNAcentral.